Non-coding RNA from Gossypium raimondii (Peruvian cotton), 107 nucleotides. The record is from Rfam. NCBI's taxonomy places the organism in Eukaryota, Viridiplantae, Streptophyta, Magnoliopsida, Malvales, Malvaceae.
AUUCCAUGGUGUGGGAAUUUUCUCAACAUUGUCUUGAAACGCUCCUACGCCUUGUACAGGGACUCACCUUUGUAUUGUUUGAAAUUUGUAAUUUCCCGUCGGAGUUG